RNAcentral lists this transfer RNA (76 nucleotides) under Acidithiobacillales bacterium SG8_45. RNAcentral describes it as "tRNA-Lys". It matches the Rfam family "tRNA". Rfam says of the family: Transfer RNA (tRNA) molecules are approximately 80 nucleotides in length. Their secondary structure includes four short double-helical elements and three loops (D, anti-codon, and T loops). Further hydrogen bonds mediate the characteristic L-shaped molecular structure. tRNAs have two regions of fundamental functional importance: the anti-codon, which is responsible for specific mRNA codon recognition, and the 3' end, to which the tRNAs corresponding amino acid is attached (by aminoacyl-tRNA synthetases). tRNAs cope with the degeneracy of the genetic code in two manners: having more than one tRNA (with a specific anti-codon) for a particular amino acid; and 'wobble' base-pairing, i.e. permitting non-standard base-pairing at the 3rd anti-codon position. Lineage: Bacteria; Pseudomonadati; Pseudomonadota; Acidithiobacillia; Acidithiobacillales. RNAcentral also lists the same sequence under 4 other names. The record is from RNAcentral.
GGGUCGUUAGCUCAGUUGGUAGAGCAGCGGACUCUUAAUCCGCGGGUCGUAGGUUCGAUCCCUACACGACCCACCA